AGAGAGGCGGCCAAGAUGGCGGUGCUGGUCGACCACGCCUCCUCCGGGAGCGGAGGCGGGUGGCUGUUCUCGGGUAGGCGUCGCGCGUGGGGCGGCACUGUGGGAGUUCCCGAGGCCGAGGUCGUUCGCAGGCCCCAUUUCCCUGCGCUCUUAUUCGUGUUGCCGCUUCUUGGCCGUCCUUGCUCUUUGACACAAAAGUGUAGUUUCGGCACAAAUUUACAAAUUAAACUCCACAGACUUCCGCAGGGAAGUGAGAUACCCCCAGGUCUCCCUGAGGAAGGCUCGGGAAAGACUGGGCCGGCCUCACUCACAGUAAGCCUGACCCUGGGUUCUCCCACUGUGUGGAGCCAGAUUUCUCAGCGAGCCUUGGGCGGCAUGGGAAAAGGCCUCUGGGCCAAGUUGGUCCUAGGCUGGAAGAGGGAUGUGGGUCCUCUCCUCCAACUCCCCCACCCUAUCUUCUUAUAGAGCGCUGGAAGUGUGUGAACUUUCCAAGUCCAAAAAGUCUUCACUUGGCGAAGACCUUCAUCUAUUGCUUUGUAGACUCAAAUGUAGUUUGUGCCAUAAGCCACGACUGACUCAACCCAUUUCUGGCCAAGCAGUUACCUUCUGUAGCCUGUUUUCUGGUCUGUGUAAAGCAAAUAACGCCCACUUUACGAAUUUUAUAGUGGAUACAGAUAAAGAUGAAGCCACCACGAAAGAAAUAAUUCCUUUUCAUCUCUUAAUUCCUUGCUAAAUCAACUGAUACCGCUAACCUAGCCAAUGGAAUUUUAAAUGGAAAUUUCCCUACUCCAAAACAAUAGCUUUUAGUCUUUGCAACAGAAAAGCAAGUAAUAAUAAUGACAGAUAACACAUGUGUUUACUAUAUGCUAAACAGUGUUCCUAUAACUUCACAAAUACUGGCUACUUUAAGCCUAAGAAUAACCCUAUGGAGUAUGUAUUACUACUGUAAUUUGUAUAUUGGGCAACAGAAGCAAGUAAAAUUGAGUAGCUUGACCCAAGGAAGAAGUUUUGUAAGUGGUACAAACUUAACUAAGUCACACAACUAUAUUGAGUGACAGAGCCCACCUUUGAAACCAGACAGUCUGUGAUAACAGUCCACAUUCAACCAUAUUCCUAUAUACCAUCUGGCAGUGGGAACAUCCUAAUCUCCAUUUGCUGAUAAAAGUUUGUGGCAGUAACAGAGUUCAGAUCAAUUUCGGCGAUCUUUUACUUACAUGUAAGUUUUUACAGAACAAGAAUUAAGGCAUUUAUUGGUUGUUUCCUGUACAUUCACACAUGGUGAAGAUUCCUGUCUUCCAUCCCCAUUCGGUGUUCUCAUCUCAAAAUAAUAUCUUACAUUUAGACAUUACUUUUUGCUGCAUUAUCACAAGCAUCAUCCCCAAUUCUCAGAGUUAACCCCUACAGGUUCUGCUUAGAUGAUGUAAUGAAAAGAUCACAAACGUUGGGUUAGGAGAAAUUCCACUGGCUCUACCUCUAGUCAUUCUUUGAACUAAGGCCCAAUGUCAAUGUCUUUUGCUGUAAAAUCCAGAGGUUAGAUUAGAUAAUCCAAUAAAACCCCUUCUAGCUUUUAGGUUUUUAAGACUCCUCAUUCCGCUGAAUUUCUUUUUUUGUUUGUUUGUUUUGUUUUGUUUUGAGAUGGAGUUUCACUCUUGUUGCCCAGGCUGGAGUGCAAUGGCACGAUCUUGGCUCACUGCAACCUCCACCUCCCAGGUUCAAGCGAUUCUCCUGCCUCAGCCUCCCAAGUAGCUGGGAUUACAGGCAUGCGUCACCCCACUCGGCUAAUUUUGUAUUUUUAGUAGAGAUGGGAUUUCUCCAUGUUCAUCAGGGUGGUCUCAAACCCCUGACCUCAGGUGGUCUGCCCACCUCGGCCUCCCAAAGUACUGGAAUUACAGGUGUGAGCCACUGCACCCAG
Molecule: long non-coding RNA, 1912 nt
Filed under: Homo sapiens (human)
Lineage: Eukaryota; Metazoa; Chordata; Mammalia; Primates; Hominidae
Description: non-protein coding lnc-RAB27B-12:1
Source: RNAcentral